UACGUAGGUCCCGAGCGUUGUCCGGAUUUAUUGGGCGUAAAGCGAGCGCAGGUGGUUUAUUAAGUCUGGUGUAAAAGGCAGUGGCUCAACCAUUGUAUGCAUUGGAGACUGGUAGACUUGAGUGCAGGAGAGGAGAGUGGAAUUCCAUGUGUAGCGGUGAAAUGCAUAGAUAUAUGGAGGAACACCGGUGGCGAAAGCGGCUCUCUGGCCUGUAACUGACACUGAGGCUCGAAAGCGUGGGGAGCAAACAGG
Molecule: ribosomal RNA, 252 nt
Filed under: uncultured bacterium
Lineage: Bacteria
Description: partial 16S ribosomal RNA
Rfam family: Bacterial small subunit ribosomal RNA
Source: RNAcentral